RNAcentral lists this unclassified non-coding RNA (315 nucleotides) under Hevea brasiliensis (rubber tree). The record is from RNAcentral. Lineage: Eukaryota; Viridiplantae; Streptophyta; Magnoliopsida; Malpighiales; Euphorbiaceae.
GUGUGUGUAUGAAGAAGUUGUUCUAUUUCUUCUUUUUUUUUUUGGAAUUAUUUUUUUUCCCUUGGUUUAGUAAUGUCCUUGAUGAAGGGGAGAUUUUGAGGGAUGAGAAUGAUUAUCAUUUGUCACUUCUUUGUGGUCCGGGAGGCCUGAAAGCUGAAACCCCCCUUUACGCUUUUAUAUAUUAAACUAUGGUUUGUUUUUACCAAAAAAAAAAAGCACAUUAUGAUCAUAGGUAUGCUCAAAGUUGAUCAUGGUUUGAUGUUAAAUGGACCCACAAUUUUUGUAUAAAUAAUUUUCGAUUGCUAAAGAGGCAAC